This 253-nucleotide ribosomal RNA is filed under the name uncultured bacterium. Its description in RNAcentral is "partial 16S ribosomal RNA". It matches the Rfam family "Bacterial small subunit ribosomal RNA", at positions 524 to 776 of the family's 1533-position model. The record is from RNAcentral.
UACGUAGGCAGCGAGCGUUGUUCGGAGUUACUGGGCGUAAAGGGUGUGUAGGCGGUUCUCUAAGUUUGGUGUGAAAUCUCCCGGCUCAACCGGGAGGGUGCGCCGAAAACUGGAGGGCUAGAGUGCGGGAAGGGAGAGUAGAAUUCCUGGUGUAGCGGUGAAAUGCGUAGAUAUCAGGAGGAAUACCGGUGGUGUAGACGGCUCUCUGGACCGCGACUGACGCUGAGACACGAAAGCCAGGGUAGCAAACGGG